Molecule: ribosomal RNA, 312 nt
Filed under: uncultured eukaryote
Lineage: Eukaryota
Description: partial 18S ribosomal RNA
Rfam family: Eukaryotic small subunit ribosomal RNA
Source: RNAcentral
CCCUUAGAUGUCCUGGGCCGCACGCGUGCUACACUGAUGCAUACAGCGAGUACUCCCAGCUCCGAGAGGCUGCUGGUAAUCAGCAAUAUGCAUCGUGAUGGGGAUAGAUCUUUGGAAUUAUAGAUCUUGAACGAGGAAUUCCUAGUAAUCGCAGGUCAUCACCCUGCGUUGACUAAGUCCCUGCCCUUUGUACACACCGCCCGUCGCUCCUACCGAUUUCGAGUGAUCCGGUGAAUCAUUCGGACCGCGGCCCCUAGGCAUGCGGAAAGUCUAGUAAACCAUAUCACUUAGAGGAAGGAGAAGUCGUAACAA